RNAcentral lists this transfer RNA (67 nucleotides) under Eurycea cirrigera (southern two-lined salamander). RNAcentral's name for it is "tRNA-Cys". Lineage: Eukaryota; Metazoa; Chordata; Amphibia; Caudata; Plethodontidae. The record is from RNAcentral.
AGCCCUGUGGUGUUCAGCACAUAAGAUUGCAAAUCUUCUAGAGCAGUAUGACAUCUGCCGGGGCUUC